Molecule: non-coding RNA, 569 nt
Organism: Cicer arietinum (chickpea)
Lineage: Eukaryota; Viridiplantae; Streptophyta; Magnoliopsida; Fabales; Fabaceae
Source: RefSeq, a predicted model, not a curated record
AAUUAUUAGAGAUUGGUGGCUCUCUAAAUUGAAGUCACAUUAGACGCGUUUCCGUUAGUUUUGGCGCCUUGUGAGUUGUUAGCUACAAUAAUAAAACCUUUCGUCCACGUUUGGCUCUCUAAUCCAAAUUCGUCAUAACCGCUUUUAAUUUCUCACUUCUCAGUUAGCUUUUCAAUUUUCCCGGGAAAAUGUUGGAAAUGAGGGCAUUGGGAUUUUUCUCUUUUUCAAUUCUCAGUUUGGUGCUCUUUUUCAUAUCUGAUCUUGGACAAGCUCACCACUUUUCCCCUCCUCCAACACCUUCUCCUUCUCCUUCCAGUGAUGGUACUGCGAUUGAUCAAGGAAUUGCUUAUUUUCUCAUGCUAGUGGCUCUCGCGAUUACAUACAUGUUUCAUUGAUUUGUAAUCUGCUUCGUCAAUUAUUAUUUAUUUAGUCCACGAACUUUCUUGAUUUUCUUUUACUUAGUUUAAUUAUUUAUUAGUUAAUAUAUAUAAGAUGUCAUUGUUCUAAUUAUUCUUAAGUUAUUGCUAUUAAAAAGAAUAGCUAGCAGUAGGAUUAUAAAUGAUUUCAUA